This is a non-coding RNA of Vicia faba (fava bean), 333 nucleotides long. NCBI's taxonomy places the organism in Eukaryota, Viridiplantae, Streptophyta, Magnoliopsida, Fabales, Fabaceae. The record is from the annotation of a GenBank genome assembly.
CCGUACAUACUCCAGUGCCCCAUUCCAUUGAUACAUAUCCAAAAUCCAAAAACAAAACAAAACCCCAAACAUCUGAGCCAAUUUUCUCUUUUCCAUCUCCUCCACGUGUCACCUUCUCAUUCGCUCCCCUCUUUUUCUUUUUUGCCCUCAACGCACAUUACCAUUAUUAGUCCACACGCACACAUACCCAUAAACAACAAUAUACUCCGUAUAAUAUCUUCUCCUUUUUCUUUUCUUCUUCAUCCAAUUUUAUUCUUCUCACCAACAUGUGUAACUAACUCUAUGGUUUGUUUUUCUCUUUUUAUAUUUAUGGUUAUCUUUUUCUGUUUGUAA